CGCUAGACAGACCUUGGGUUCCAGGCCCAACUUAGGAAGGUUAGAGUCCUUCCUAAGAUUUAGGGGGUUAGAGGUCCCUCUCAGUAAAGUCCUUUUCAGCUAAGAACAGGCUUGGCACUAUGGGACGUUAACUGCUAUUAUCAUCUUUGGGUUUAUCUGCCUUGCACUCUUUGCUGAUGGCUAAGGGUGACAGAAUUAGGCAUGUACAAGAUCAUGGGACAUGGGGAACUUUUUCCUCCCCAAAAGGGGAAAUUUAAGAGCUGACGGGACUGCUGGGAAAGAUCCCUUCGUUAUCAACAGGCAGCCACCUGAACUUUUCAGUGUCACUGCAGUGGGCAGGUCUUUCUCUGGCCUCCCUGAGCUCUUCACCUUCCCCGCCCUGCCACAGGGAAUGCUUUUCUCUCUCUCCUUUUUCCCUUUCUUAUGUUUUCUAUUACUCAGGGCCACCAUCUUGCCCAGAGACCGUAAGUUGAAGCUCCUGGUUGGAGGCUGGAUUAACAACGAUGGGGCCGACCAGGGGCAUGUCUGAGCCCUGCCAGUUUGAUUUUGGGUGCUGGGUGCUGAGCUGAAUGGCUAAUAUCUAUGUUUUGUCACACAUAUUUUGCUCUGGCCAGGACAGAAAAAGAUAAUUUUCCUUUAUGAUGUGGCUUGGCCCCUAGGGCUGUGGUGCAGCCAGCUGGAUCACUAGGGCCGCCUCAGGGAAAGGGAACCCAGAAGCCUGGCAUGCCAGCAAAAUGGUUUCAAAGUAGCACAGCAAACUGGUCAGUUAUAAAUUUUGUGGCAGGUUCCUGAAAAAAAACUGGAUAAAGUUUCUCUCUUAUCUUGUUUCGUGUGCUUGGGAGCUUGACCUUGUAACACGUGGCAGUACUUUAUCUUGGUCUCUGCCAUCACAGUGGCAGCCUGGGAUCAGGGUUCAAUUCCUGGCUUAGGGAAUGAGUCCUUUAUUUUCUGUCUGUGUAUUUACAUGUAUUAUGUGUGUGAUGUUUAUAUAUGAAAGAGCUUUGAUUAAUUGGUGUAAUAAUAAUAAUAAGCUUAAAUCAAAUAUUUUGUAAGAAAAGUAAAAAGUGUAAUGCCUUUCAGUUCACAUGAAUUAAGUAAUUUUUGGGAAAUAAAAACUGUUUUAUAUGUAAGGUGUAUAAAGAAAGUGAAAUGUCUUUUGGUAAUAGAUUAUAAGAAGGCAUGGAAAUGUGGAUUUUUUUUUGCCUAGAUUAAAAGGUUAAAUUAUUGUUUUAAAUUAGAUAGAAUAAAGCUCAAAGUUUAAGCAAGUUGUCGAAAGUUUGAGAGAAAUUAAUCUUGUAAAGAAAUUCUGUGUGAACAUAUUGGCUAAAGUUAAAGGGGUAUUAAUCAGUUUUUCUGUAAAUUAAACAUUGGAAUAAAAGCACAACAGGUUUUUCUCUGAGCAAUGAUCUGCUUUUCAACACAAAUUGUAAAGGAUUAAUAAAAGGUUUAUAAAAAUCUUACCUUAUGGUCACAGUGAUUAAAAUUGAAUACAUUGGCCAGGCACGAUGGCUCACACCUGUAACCCCAGCACUUUGGGAGGCCGAGGCGGGUGGAUCACUUGAGGUCAGGAGUUCGAGAUCAGCAUGGCCAACACAGUGAAACCCGUCUCUACUAAAAAUACAAAAAAAUGGCUGGGCAUGGUGGUGUGCACCUGUAAUCCUAGCUUCUAGGGAGGUGAGGUGGGAGAAUUGCUUGAACCCGGGAGGUGGAGGUUGCAGUGAGCUGAAAUCAUGCCACUGCCCUCUAGCCUGGGUGACAGAGUGAGACUCUGUCUCAAAAAAAAAAAAAAAAUGAAUAGAUUUAUCUAUGAGAUUUUGUUAAGAAUAUUUAACAUCAAUAGUACACUAAUGUAAAGGUGAAAUUUGGCUUAUUUGGUAUAAAAGUCAUACAGGAAGCAUUGUCAAAUAGGAAAUUGGCUUUCUUUGGGCUGUAUUUGUAUAAAUAUGUUACUGGCAUGUGUUCCAAAAUUAGGUGAAACUCCUAUAAUUCUGAUAUGACUUAGUGUAUGUUAUUAAUAGUUGUACUUGUUAUGUUAAAUUAUUGUAUGCUCCAGGAGUAACCAAAUUUCCUUGUCAAUUGUGGCUUUAAUUGUGGCUGUCCUAAGACUUUCUGUCAUCCACAGACAAUUCUUGUCUUGUUUUGGUCCUAUUUAAAAGGUGGCUUAUAAUCAGAUAUAGGCCUUUAACAGGUGCUCUUGAAUGCAAGUUUCUGAUUACUUUCAAAGUUGUAACAUGAGAAUAGAGGAAAAAACUUUCAGGACUCUCAUGGGGAGCUGAAAUGUUCCUGAAUAUCAAGCAGAACAGGAGUUAACUGCAUGAACCAAACUAAUAGAAGAUUGAAAUCAUCUUUUUUGACUUUGCUUAAAAUGUUGCUGAUCCUUUGCUUUUUUCAAAGACAAGAAAACUUUUCUUUUGAGCUAUUUAGAGCUUUUAACAAUUAAGUAAAGUAUACUGCUAUGAACAAAAUUUGAAGCAUAUUUGUUUCUCUCAACCUGAUCUCUCCAGAAUUUAGAAACUAUUUGUGAGUAUUCUUAAUUUAUGGCAAUAUAGUUAAUUGCAUAAUUGUAAAGAAUUUGUUUUUGUUUGUAACAGGACACAACUGGAGAAACUGGUUAUUUUUUUCACAGGAAUGGCAUGCUUUCCUUUAAGGAAUCAAAUUGAAUUGUAGAGUCAAUAGAAGCCCCUUGGGGGAAACUGGCCUUGUACCUUGUCUCCACAGUCCCUGUACAGGGUUCCUGAUCUGUGGUAAGUAAAGAAUGUCACUUUCUCACAGGCCCAGGAGCCCCAAGUUAUCUUGGGACCCCCCAAGAGGAGAGGAAUUUACCCAACCCAUAGGUAUUUGAGAAUAUAAACCUAUGGCUGGGCUUGGCUUUAAAAAAGGUCUUAUCUGAGAUUCCUUAUGGAACAGAGUUCCAUCAAAGCCAAUUUAAAAAGCCUAUGUGAAAAAUAAUUAUUCUUGCUGCACUUUAUACAAAUAAUCAAGCCAAGUAUACAAGACUAAGGCUUAUUUUUCCAAACUAAUCAGUCCUGUUAUGGUUUGUCUUUAGUAAAAAUGGGAGACUGGAGACAGAAAUUAUGUUUCAAGAACUAUGGUACAUUUGUCAUUAGAUUCUAGUUUCAUCAGUCGUUUUUAAGUUUUUUCUGCUAUUUAAACUAACCCUGCUUAUUCCUGUGAACCAACCAGUGAUCUCUGACUGCGGCUCAGAAGAAAUAAAAGCAAUGGGUAAUGUAAAUAUCUGGAUCAGUAUUCCAAUUCUGGACACACUGGAAUCAGCUAGCGACCCCAUAUCAGCUUGGUUCCAAUAGUUGCCCAGUUAAUAAAAAGCCUUCUUACUUAGUUUACUUGGGAUAAUUUUGUUUAUUUUGUUUUACUGUUGUGGAAUAUAUUGCUGUUGCACUCUUUGUGUAGGAAUGCAGGAUAAGCUUACUCAAUGUUUUCUUAAGUUGAACACUUAAUAAUCUUCCAGAUAUCACCUUGCCAUACUGACGUCUUCUGACUGAGCUCUUCUCUACCCCAAAUACAAGAGACCCUAAUAGUUAGGCAGGAAUAUCAUCAUCCCUAUUCAGCCCGAAGAAGUUACAGAAGAUGGAUCUUUGUCCCUUUACAACCCUUAGGAUUAAGGAUUCUCUUAUAAAAGGGAGGGGAGAAAUGUCAGAGGCAUUUGAACCAGAGCAACUUGAAUAGGGGCUGGGGAAAAUGAGGCUGAGACCUACUGGGCUGCAUUCCCAGGUGGUUAGGCAUUCUAGGUCACAGAAUGAGAUGGAGGUUGGCACAAGGUACAGGUCAUAAAAACCUUGCUGAUAUAACCGCUUGCAGUAAAGAAGCCGGCUAAAUCCCGCCAAAACCAAGAUGGCGACAAGAGUGACCUCUGGUUGUCCUCACUGCUACACUCCCACCAGCACCAUGACAGUUUACAAAUGCCAUGGCAGCAUCAGGAAGUUACCCUAUAUGGUCUAAAAAGGGGAGGCAUGAAUAAUCCACCCCUUGUUUAGCAUAUCAUCAAGAAAUAGUCAUAAAAAUGGGCAACCAGCAGACCUCAGGGCUGCUCUAUAGAGUAGACAUUCUUUUAGUGUUUUACUUUCCUAAUAAACUUGCUUUCACUUUACUCUAUGGACUUGCCUUGAAUUCUUACAAGAGAUCC
RNAcentral lists this long non-coding RNA (4141 nucleotides) under Homo sapiens (human). RNAcentral's name for it is "non-protein coding lnc-DEGS2-9:1". Lineage: Eukaryota; Metazoa; Chordata; Mammalia; Primates; Hominidae. The record is from RNAcentral.